UCAUCUUGAUGAAUAAGAACUACUGUCCC
RNAcentral lists this small RNA (29 nucleotides) under Bombyx mori (domestic silkworm). RNAcentral's name for it is "piRNA piR-bmo-1470154". Lineage: Eukaryota; Metazoa; Arthropoda; Insecta; Lepidoptera; Bombycidae. The record is from RNAcentral.